RNAcentral lists this transfer RNA (71 nucleotides) under Marmota monax (woodchuck). RNAcentral's name for it is "tRNA.Thr". The record is from RNAcentral. Lineage: Eukaryota; Metazoa; Chordata; Mammalia; Rodentia; Sciuridae.
GGAGUUGUAACUCAAUGGUAGAGUGCUUGCCUAGUAUGUGUGAGGCACUGAGUUCCAUCCUCAGUACUGCA